This 253-nucleotide ribosomal RNA is filed under the name uncultured bacterium. RNAcentral's name for it is "partial 16S ribosomal RNA". It matches the Rfam family "Bacterial small subunit ribosomal RNA", at positions 524 to 776 of the family's 1533-position model. The record is from RNAcentral.
GACAGAGGUCCCGAGCGUUAGGCGGAAUCACUGGGCUUAAAGCGUGUGUAGGCGGACUUCUAAGUCCCUUGUGAAAUCCCACGGCUUAACCGUGGAACUGCUUGGUAUACUGGUUGUCUUGGGCCAUCUAGGGGCUACUGGAACAAACGGUGGAGCGGUGAAAUGCGUAGAUAUCGUUUGGAACGCCAAUGGUGAAAACAAGUAGCUGGGGAUGUGCCGACGCUGAGACACGAAAGCCAGGGGAGCGAACGGG